GAUCAUGGCUCAGGAUGAACGCUAGCUACAGGCUUAACACAUGCAAGGUCGGGGGGCAGCAUGAGAUUAGCUUGCUAAUCUGAUGGCGACCGGCGCACGGGUGCGUAACACGUAUCCAAUCUACCCAUGGCUCGGGGAUAGCCUUUCGAAAGAAAGAUUAAUACCCGAUGGUCUGCGAUUGAGACAUCUCGAUUGCAGUAAAGACUUGUCGGCGAUGGAUGGGGAUGCGUCCGAUUAGCUAGUUGGCGGGGUAACGGCCCACCAAGGCGACGAUCGGUAGGGGUUCUGAGAGGAAGGUCCCCCACACUGGAACUGAGACACGGUCCAGACUCCUACGGGAGGCAGCAGUGAGGAAUAUUGGUCAAUGGGCGAUGGCCUGAACCAGCCAAAGUAGCGUGAGGGACGACGGCCCUACGGGUUGUAAACCUCUUUUGUAUGGGAAUAAAGUGACGGCACGUGUGUCCUUUUGUAUGUACCUUACGAAUAAGCAUCGGCUAAUUCCGUGCCAGCCGCCGC
This 516-nucleotide ribosomal RNA is filed under the name uncultured bacterium. Its description in RNAcentral is "bacterial SSU rRNA". It matches the Rfam family "Bacterial small subunit ribosomal RNA", at positions 15 to 518 of the family's 1533-position model. The record is from RNAcentral.